This 252-nucleotide ribosomal RNA is filed under the name uncultured Gemmobacter sp. RNAcentral describes it as "partial 16S ribosomal RNA". It matches the Rfam family "Bacterial small subunit ribosomal RNA", at positions 524 to 776 of the family's 1533-position model. The record is from RNAcentral. Lineage: Bacteria; Pseudomonadati; Pseudomonadota; Alphaproteobacteria; Rhodobacterales; Paracoccaceae.
UACGGAGGGGGCUAGCGUAAUUCGGAAUUACUGGGCGUAAAGCGCACGUAGGCGGAUUAGAAAGUCAGAGGUGAAAUCCAGGGCUCAACCUUGGAACUGCCUUUGAAACUCCUAGUCUUGAGGUCGAGAGUGGUGAGUGGAAUUCCGAGUGUAGAGGUGAAAUUCGUAGAUAUUCGGAGGAACACCAGUGGCGAAGGCGGCUCACUGGCUCGAUACUGACGCUGAGGUGCGAAAGCGUGGGGAGCAAACAGG